RNAcentral lists this ribosomal RNA (492 nucleotides) under uncultured bacterium. RNAcentral describes it as "partial 16S ribosomal RNA". It matches the Rfam family "Bacterial small subunit ribosomal RNA", at positions 29 to 507 of the family's 1533-position model. The record is from RNAcentral.
AGUGAACGCUGGCGGCAGGCCUAACACAUGCAAGUCGAACGGCAGCACAGUAAGAGCUUGCUCUUACGGGUGGCGAGUGGCGGACGGGUGAGGAAUACAUCGGAAUCUACUUUUUCGUGGGGGAUAACGUAGGGAAACUUACGCUAAUACCGCAUAUGACCUACGGGUGAAAGCAGGGGAUCUUCGGACCUUGCGCGAUUGAAUGAGCCGAUGUCGGAUUAGCUAGUUGGCGGGGUAAAGGCCCACCAAGGCGACGAUCCGUAGCUGGUCUGAGAGGAUGGUCGGCCACACUGGAACUGAGACACGGUCCUGACUCCUGCGAGAGGCAGCAGUGGGGAAUAUUAGGCAAUGGGCGCAAGCCUGAUCCAGCCAUACCGCGUGGGUGAAGAAGGCCUUCGGGUUGUAAAGCCCUUUUGUUGGGAGAGAAAAGCAGCAGGUUAAUACCCCGCUGUUCUGACGGUACCCAAAGAAUAAGCACCGGCUAACUUCGUG